CCAUUAGAUGUUCUGGGCUGCACGCGCGCUACACUGAAGCUAUCAACACGUUUUCCCUCCCUGAGAAGGGCGGGUAACCUUUUGAAUCAGCUUCGUGGUAGGGAUCGGGGCUUGCAAUUGUUCCCCGUGAACCAGGAAUUCCUAGUAGACGCGAGUCAUAAGCUCGCAUCGAUUAAGUCCCUGCCCUUUGUACACACCGCCCGUCGCUACUACCGAUUGAACGUUUUAGUGAGGCAUUUGGACCGACGCAUCUCAGUUUAACCGCUGGUUUGUGUUGGAAAGACUUCCAAACUUGAGCGUUUAGAGGAAGUAAAAGUCGUAACA
This 324-nucleotide ribosomal RNA is filed under the name uncultured eukaryote. Its description in RNAcentral is "partial 18S ribosomal RNA". It matches the Rfam family "Eukaryotic small subunit ribosomal RNA", at positions 1470 to 1796 of the family's 1831-position model. The record is from RNAcentral.